This 68-nucleotide transfer RNA is filed under the name Sceloporus olivaceus. RNAcentral describes it as "tRNA-Trp". The record is from RNAcentral. Lineage: Eukaryota; Metazoa; Chordata; Lepidosauria; Squamata; Phrynosomatidae.
AGAGACUUAGGAUAAUCUAAACCAAGGGCCUUCAAAGCCCUAAACAGGGUCACAACCCCUAGCCUCUG